UACGGGAGGCAGCAGUGGGGAAUAUUGCACAAUGGGCGCAAGCCUGAUGCAGCCAUGCCGCGUGUAUGAAGAAGGCCUUCGGGUUGUAAAGUACUUUCAGUCGUGAGGAAGGUGUUAAGGUUAAUAACCUUAGCAAUUGACGUUAGCGACAGAAGAAGCACCGGCUAACUCCGUGCCAGCAGCCGCGGUAAUACGGAGGGUGCGAGCGUUAAUCGGAAUUACUGGGCGUAAAGGGCACGCAGGCGGUUAAUUAAGUUGGAUGUGAAAUCCCCGGGCUUAACCUGGGAAUGGCAUUCAAGACUGGUUAGCUAGAGUCUUGUAGAGGGGGUAGAAUUCCAUGUGUAGCGGUGAAAUGCGUAGAGAUGUGGAGGAAUACCGGUGGCGAAGCGGCCCCUGGACAAGACUGACGCUCAUGUGCGAAGCGUGGGGAGCAAACGAGGAUUAGAUACC
This 450-nucleotide ribosomal RNA is filed under the name uncultured bacterium. Its description in RNAcentral is "bacterial SSU rRNA". It matches the Rfam family "Bacterial small subunit ribosomal RNA", at positions 340 to 786 of the family's 1533-position model. The record is from RNAcentral.